GCAUCAGUGAUGUUUAUUUGUCAAUGGGAGCAAGCUUGAUCCAUCCAUGGCGCGUGCAGGAAGACAUCCGUAUGGAAAGUAAAUUGUUUUUAUACAGAAAGAAACACUCGUAUGUGUACUAGACUGUCGUUUCUGUAUGAGUAUGGGUUGGCUAAGUCCGUGCCAGCGGGGUCAUUAAUAGGGAGCAUGCGAUCUCUAUCCUGAUUCAUUUUAUUUAAAGGGUCCGUGGGCGGAUUUCUCAGUCAGUGGUGUAAGCGUCUCGCUCAAAAAUGGAACUGCCAUUGAGAUUGUCGUUCUUGAGUGUGAAGGAGGUAGAAUGAAUAUUUCAGGUGUCGGUGAAAUGCAUAUAUCUGACACUGAACACCGAGAGCGCAGGCCGCUCACUAUACACUCACUGACGCUGACGAACGAAUGCGUGGGGACACGAACAUGGAUUAGACUACCCUUGUUAGUCGCAGUCAGUAAAUCGAUGAUCAGCUCUCUGUUCACAGAUGCGCUUUGAGUGGCUAAGCGAAAGUGAUAAGUACCACCCUGGACUCCGCGUGGGG
This 548-nucleotide ribosomal RNA is filed under the name uncultured bacterium. Its description in RNAcentral is "bacterial SSU rRNA". It matches the Rfam family "Bacterial small subunit ribosomal RNA", at positions 348 to 873 of the family's 1533-position model. The record is from RNAcentral.